ACGAACGCUGGCGGCGUGCUUAACACAUGCAAGUCGAACGGUGAAGCGCCUUCCUUUUUGGUGGGUGUGGAUGAGUGGCGAACGGGUGAGUAACACGUGAGUAACCUGCCCCCUUCUUCUGGAUAACCGCAUGAAAGUGUGGCUAAUACGGGAUAUUCUGGGUCUGUCGCAUGAUGGGUCUGGGAAAGAUAUUGUUUCGGUGGGGGAUGGGCUCGCGGCCUAUCAGCUUGUUGGUGGGGUGAUGGCCUACCAAGGCGGUGACGGGUAGCCGGCCUGAGAGGGUGGACGGUCACACUGGGACUGAGACACGGCCCAGACUACUACGGGAGGCAGCAGGGGGGAAUAUUGCACAAUGGGCGCAAGCCUGAUGCAGCGACGCCGCGUGAGGGAUGGAGGCCUUCGGGUUGUGAACCUCUUUCGCCAGUGAAGCAGGCCUGCCUCGUUUGUGGGUGGGUUGACGGUAGCUGGAUAAGAAGCGCCGGCUAACUACGUG
This 493-nucleotide ribosomal RNA is filed under the name uncultured bacterium. RNAcentral's name for it is "partial 16S ribosomal RNA". It matches the Rfam family "Bacterial small subunit ribosomal RNA", at positions 29 to 507 of the family's 1533-position model. The record is from RNAcentral.